Molecule: long non-coding RNA, 1786 nt
Filed under: Nicotiana tabacum (common tobacco)
Lineage: Eukaryota; Viridiplantae; Streptophyta; Magnoliopsida; Solanales; Solanaceae
Description: long non-coding RNA (NTAB_LNC001698)
Source: RNAcentral
CAAAAUCAUACACUAUAUUUAGCCUUAGACUUAAAAUAAUACAUAUUCUUUAACAUGGUACACUAAUAGUCACUUUUCUUUAAUAAAGUGGUGCACUUUUAAUCACAACCUUAAACACCGUUUGUUUUUUAACAGGACUUUCCUCACGUGCCUGUCACAUGAUUUCCAUUUCAAAGAAAACAGAUUUCUCUGCAAAAGAUCAACGUUCUCUUCCUUCUCUUUCCCAUUUCUUCCCCCAAUUUUCAUAACCCUAGUUUAUAAAUUCACGAGACCAGGUGGGUAAUCAGGUGAGUCAGAUUGGUUUUGUUGGAGAAAGACAAGAAAACGCAAUGAAGAUUCAAGGGUGUACACAUUUCUAUUUUUUGUAGUUCAAUAUCGACAAAUUUAACUAUCACUACCACAAGAAUGAAACUUUUCAGUUAGAAACUUUUAUUGCCACUUCCACAUCCUCUAGAAAGGCACAUCAUUAACUAUUUUCUCUCCUAUAGCAUAUCGAAUCUUUAACUUUGUUCUGAUUCUAUUUCCUAUUGCUAGCUUGAUCUCCUUUUAGAUUUUGAAAUUUCAGUAUAUUAUUAUUCAUUUAGUAGCAGCUAAUUUGCUUGAUUACUAGCGGAAGGAAUAGACACUCAUUGAUUGACUAUGAAAUAAACUAAGGUAAAUAAUAAUUCAUCCAGAUUAUACUACUCUCUUGGAUAUGUUUCUGCAAUGUGGUAGAAGUUUUAUGAAUUUGAGAUCUUAUAAAAAAAAAAAGAUUUAUGAAUUUGAGUUUUUAUAGGAAUAUGAAGUGCAUAAAUACCUCUAGUUCUUUACUUGUUCAAAAGGUAUGUUUGGUACUUAGUAUGUGUUUUACCUCUUGUUGGAAUCAAGAUCAUGCUACUUGUGGAAACACAUAGUCAUGAGAAAGUAGAGACAGUGUCUUAGUGCUUUUCUUAAGCGACUGCAAUUGCCAAUUUAAACUACUCUGUUGUUAAUAGUUAACAAGUUCCUGUUGGUAAUAUCCUUUUCUCCACCAUCUUUUCAAAUAAGAAUAUAGUUUUCAUUGGAUAACCAUAGUGUGAAUAAGCUCCAAUUAUUGUAUUAAAUGUCACAACAUCUGGUGUAGAUGUUAGACGAAAACCUUCUAAACAUCCUCUAAGUUGCCACAUUAUGCAUAUGCUUCUAUUAACGAGCUUUCCACAUGCAGGUUUGUCCCAAACCUCCCCUUAACUACCCAAGAAUGCACCUGCCUGCAGAUUGCAAGAAAUGGUAGUAACGAGCAGGCCUUCAGAGUAACUGAAAAUGUAUAUUCAUCUCAAGCCAUAUCAUUUUUUAGCAUCUUAUGGAAGAUUUCUAACCCAGCAACAACCUCAUCAUUGGGAACAAGGUCGGCUAUCAGUGCAUUCCAUGAUGCACAAGAUGUUAUACGCAACCAUAAUCAUGACAUUCUAUAGAGGCUGAGUAUGAAAGGGCCCCAGAAACGGUGAAUUCAUUAGGUUCAGUAUUGUUCUUUCUCAUCAAACAGAAUUGUGUCAAUGCCUUAUUGAAGGCCUUUUGAUGGUAAAGUCCAGAUACAAAAGCAGUCCAAGAUAUAACGUUCCUACUGACAAGCCCUCGGGACAAAUUCUCGGCCUCCUCAAUCAUUUUUGCUAUUCAAAAAUGUACCUUUUACUUUUCUAUGUAAUGAAUGAUUUAGAUGAAUGAGAAUUUUGAUGAAGCUUUUGGCAUAAAAUUUCUAUUUCAUUGCAACUGGUCAUACUUCGUUAAACAUCGACAAUAAAAACUAAUACUUUGACAAAAUGAUUCGCUU